GGGAAUUUAGUUCAGUCGGUUAGAACGCAUGACUGUUAAUCAUGAUGUCCCAGGUUCGAAUCCUGGAGUUCCCG
This 74-nucleotide transfer RNA is filed under the name Lachnospiraceae bacterium KHCPX20. It matches the Rfam family "tRNA". Rfam says of the family: Transfer RNA (tRNA) molecules are approximately 80 nucleotides in length. Their secondary structure includes four short double-helical elements and three loops (D, anti-codon, and T loops). Further hydrogen bonds mediate the characteristic L-shaped molecular structure. tRNAs have two regions of fundamental functional importance: the anti-codon, which is responsible for specific mRNA codon recognition, and the 3' end, to which the tRNAs corresponding amino acid is attached (by aminoacyl-tRNA synthetases). tRNAs cope with the degeneracy of the genetic code in two manners: having more than one tRNA (with a specific anti-codon) for a particular amino acid; and 'wobble' base-pairing, i.e. permitting non-standard base-pairing at the 3rd anti-codon position. Lineage: Bacteria; Bacillati; Bacillota; Clostridia; Lachnospirales; Lachnospiraceae. The record is from Rfam by way of RNAcentral.